RNAcentral lists this ribosomal RNA (253 nucleotides) under uncultured bacterium. RNAcentral's name for it is "partial 16S ribosomal RNA". It matches the Rfam family "Bacterial small subunit ribosomal RNA", at positions 524 to 776 of the family's 1533-position model. The record is from RNAcentral.
UACGAAGGGGGCUAGCGUUGUUCGGAAUCACUGGGCGUAAAGCGCACGCAGGCGGAUUGAUAAGUCAGGGGUGAAAUCCCGGAGCUCAACUUCGGAAUUGCCUUUGAUACUGUCAAUCUCGAGUCCGGGAGAGGUGAGUGGAAUUCCUAGUGUAGAGGUGAAAUUCGUAGAUAUUAGGAAGAACACCAGUGGCGAAGGCGGCUCACUGGCCCGGUACUGACGCUCAUGUGCGAAAGCGUGGGGAGCGAACAGG